UGCAGACAAUGUUUUGCUUGAGAGAAGCUACUUUCUAGGCACUUCAACAUUCAUUCAAGAGAGCUGCCUCACAAGUGCCCUGAAUGCGGGAAAGGAUUCCCUCAUAGGUCCAACCGUUAUCGGCACCAGCCAGUUCACGUGUGGGAGACCCCUGUGAAUGCACAGUGCAUAACAAGCGAAUAAUAAGUCGCACCUCACAGCACCUGUGAAGACGUUGUGAUAAGGAAAUGUAUGAGUGCCUUGAGUGCAGGAAAGGUGUUUCUCCUAGAUCAAGUCUGACAGGACACCCGAAUGCUUUCACAGGUGAAAAAUCUCAAGGUUGUCACAGUUGUGGGGAAAGCUUUAGUCAGUCGACAGCUCUUUUUUGCACCCGAGAACACACGCUGAGGGGAUACCAUUUAUAUGUGAUACUUGCGGGACAAGCUACAGACAGAGAUCAAGUCUUGUUAUUCGCUUAAGAAUCUAUACGUGGGAGAAGCCAUACAAAUGUAGGCACUGCUCUAAAAGCUUCAUAAAGAGAGCAGACCAUAUGAUGCACCAAGCUGCACACUUUAGA
This 556-nucleotide long non-coding RNA is filed under the name Homo sapiens (human). Its description in RNAcentral is "non-protein coding lnc-ETDA-7:1". The record is from RNAcentral. Lineage: Eukaryota; Metazoa; Chordata; Mammalia; Primates; Hominidae.